CGGGAUGUAGCGUAGCCCGGUAUCGCGCCAGCAUGGGACGCUGGAGGUCGUAGAUUCGAAUCCUGCCAUCCCGACGA
Molecule: transfer RNA, 77 nt
Filed under: Mucilaginibacter achroorhodeus
Lineage: Bacteria; Pseudomonadati; Bacteroidota; Sphingobacteriia; Sphingobacteriales; Sphingobacteriaceae
Description: Mucilaginibacter sp. MJ1a tRNA-Pro
Rfam family: tRNA
About the family: Transfer RNA (tRNA) molecules are approximately 80 nucleotides in length.
Source: RNAcentral